This is a non-coding RNA of Acanthosepion pharaonis, 113 nucleotides long. Lineage: Eukaryota; Metazoa; Mollusca; Cephalopoda; Sepiida; Sepiidae. The record is from the annotation of a GenBank genome assembly.
UUACGGCCACAUCCCGUUAAAACACUGGUUCCUGUAUGAUCACCGAAGUUAAGUAAUGUUGUGCUUGGUCAGUACAUAGAUGGGUGACCAUUUGGAAAUACCAGGUGCUGUAA